ACGGCGAGUGAACGGAGAGAAGCCCAGCGCUGAAUCAUUUGAUCUCAUAUGGAUCAAAAUGAAAUGUAGCGUAUAGGUGUAAUUGUCCAAAUGUUUUGUGCACUCAAAGUCCCCUUGAGCGGGGCCACAGUCCACAGAAGGUGCUAGACCUGUACGGGUGACGAAAUAUUUGGUUGAUUGCUCCUUGGAGUCGGGUUGCCUGAGAUCGCAGCUCAAAGUGGGUGGUAAACCUCAUCUAAGGCUAAAUAUGGCCACGAGACCGAUAGCAAACAAGUACCGUGAGGGAAAGUUGAAAAGAACUCUGAGAAGAGAGUUAAAGGAGGACGUGAAACCGCUGGGAUGGAAACGAAUAGAGUUGACGAAACUUACCGUCAUUCAACCGAUCAACUCAACGGUCUUUUAUUUGAUACCCAAAAAAAAAUUGUACCAAAAAUGCGCACAUCUCUUUGUUGGGGUGUGUGUAUUUGAUGGACAAUAAUAGGAGGUGCUGUUGAGUGUGUAGUGUGUUUUUUUGCAUAAAUUAACACACCUGUGUGAUCGGUGCAUUUGAUGGUAGUAUGCGCCGAGAGCUGCGUUGUGUUCAUUUGAUCAAUGUGUGUACGAUGAAACAUUGCGAUAGUGGACCGAUCAAUUUUUUGAUUCGGAAACCUAUCAAAUGUGGAAGCGUAUCAUCAAUGCAGUUUUGAGCAAAACAAAUGCAUACUUUCGCCGUUUAUUAUAAUAUGUUGCGCGCGCGUUACAUAUGUGCUCAAAUUUAUACUGACAUAUACAGAUCGCUUGCGUAUCUGUUAUGUUUUUUUUUGGUAUUGAAAUUGAGUGAUAUGUUUUUGUUUGUUUUUUUUGUUAUUUUCAAAAAACAAAAACGCGUUAAAGUUGCAUCUCGGUGUGAGCGUCAAUCACCUAUUCGACCCGUCUUGAAACACGGACCAAGGAGUCUAGCAUAUACGCAAGUUAUUGGGUGGUAAACCUUUAAAAGGCGCAAUGAAAGUGAACAUCGUUUUGAUACGAUUGAAAAAAAAUUUUUUUUUUUUUUUCUUGGAUAUGUGAACCAUGUUUAUGUGUAUGUGUGAGUGUAUGCAAUAUUUGUGUGUAUGUGUGUAUAUGGUAUGUUUGACAUAUCAUAUAUACUCAUCGAUCAUUUGUUGUGUACACUGUAAAAUACGCAUAAUUCACAUGGUGCAACAUAGCCCCGUUCUGAUUGCUUGCAAUAGGGCGGAGGUAGAGCGUAU
RNAcentral lists this ribosomal RNA (1229 nucleotides) under Dispharynx nasuta. Its description in RNAcentral is "partial large subunit ribosomal RNA". It matches the Rfam family "Eukaryotic large subunit ribosomal RNA", at positions 86 to 805 of the family's 3401-position model. The record is from RNAcentral. Lineage: Eukaryota; Metazoa; Nematoda; Chromadorea; Rhabditida; Acuariidae.